Molecule: ribosomal RNA, 521 nt
Filed under: uncultured bacterium
Lineage: Bacteria
Description: bacterial SSU rRNA
Rfam family: Bacterial small subunit ribosomal RNA
Source: RNAcentral
AGGGUUCGAUUCUGGCUCAGGAUGAACGCUAGCUACAGGCUUAACACAUGCAAGUCGAGGGGCAGCGGGAAGUUAGCUUGCUAACUUGCCGGCGACCGGCGCACGGGUGAGUAACGCGUAUCCAACCUUCCCCUUAGUAGGGCAUAGCCCGUAGAAAUGCGGAUUAAUACCCUAUGUUAUUCGUCGAGGACAUCUGAAGUGAAUCAAAGGUUUACCGCUAAGGGAUGGGGAUGCGUCUGAUUAGGCAGCAGGCGGGGUAACGGCCCACCUGGCCGACGAUCAGUAGGGGUUCUGAGAGGAAGGUCCCCCACAUUGGAACUGAGACACGGUCCAAACUCCUACGGGAGGCAGCAGUGAGGAAUAUUGGUCAAUGGUCGAGAGACUGAACCAGCCAAGUAAGCGUGCAGGAUGACGGCCCUAUGGGUUGUAAACUGCUUUUAUGCGGGGAUAAAGUGACGUACGUGUACGUUUUUGUAGGUACCGCAUGAAUAAGGACCGGCUAAUUCCGUGCCAGCCGCGGC